RNAcentral lists this ribosomal RNA (460 nucleotides) under uncultured bacterium. RNAcentral's name for it is "partial 16S ribosomal RNA". It matches the Rfam family "Bacterial small subunit ribosomal RNA", at positions 338 to 795 of the family's 1533-position model. The record is from RNAcentral.
CCUACGUGAGGCAGCAGUGAGAAAUAUUGGUCAAUGGGCGCGAGCCUGAACCAGCCAAGUAGCGUGAAGGAUGACUGCCCUACGGGUUGUAAACUUCUUUUAUAAAGGAAUAAAGUGAGGCACGUGUGCCUUUUUGUAUGUACUUUAUGAAUAAGGAUCGGCUAACUCCGUGCCAGCAGCCGCGGUAAUACGGAGGAUCCGAGCGUUAUCCGGAUUUAUUGGGUUUAAAGGGUGCGUAGGCGGUCAGGUAAGUUAGAGGUGAAAGCUCGAUGCUCAACAUCGAAACUGCCUCUGAUACUGUCUGACUAGAGUGUAGUUGCGGAAGGCGGAAUGUGUGGUGUAGCGGUGAAAUGCUUAGAUAUCACACAGAACACCGAUUGCGAAGGCAGCUUUUCAAGCUAUUACUGACGCUGAGGCACGAAAGCGUGGGGAGCGAACAGGAUUAGAUACCCCGGUAGUC